UUUCCUACAAACUAUAUUUUAUGUAUGUGAAAUAAUAAAAUUGAUAAAAAAAGAAGAAGAAGAGAUAGUUGUAAAUAGCAUAUCCAUUAUGUACCUGAUGAUGAGAAGUGAAGAGCGCAUAGUUGCCAAAUAAAAUCUGAAAUAUAGAGAAAUAAAUAAGAAUUAGUUAGCAAACUCAAGGAAAUCUUCAUAUAUUAAAUAUAUAUUGUUGAGAACUAAAAUGAACAUAAGAGGAAUAAAGUAGUUACCAAUCAACAAUAUAUAUUUAUAUAUUCAAACUUUUAUGGCAUAUAGCUGCUAAUCUAUAUAUUAUAUAAAGCUUAAAGAUGAAAGAUUAAUGUGACCUGAGUUGUACAAAAUCAC
RNAcentral lists this long non-coding RNA (363 nucleotides) under Solanum tuberosum (potato). RNAcentral's name for it is "long non-coding RNA (STUB_LNC004574)". Lineage: Eukaryota; Viridiplantae; Streptophyta; Magnoliopsida; Solanales; Solanaceae. The record is from RNAcentral.